UUAAACGGCCGCGGUAUUUUGACCGUGCGAAGGUAGCAUAAUCAAUUGUCUUAUAAUUGAAGACUGGAAUGAAUGGUUGAACGAAAUUAAAACUGUUUCAUUUAUAUUAAUUAUAAAUUGAUUUUUAAAUGAAGAGAUUUAAAUUUAAUUAAUAGACAAAAAGACCCUAUUGAGCUUUAAAUAAUUUUAAAAUUAAAAAUUUAUUAUUAUAGAUUUAAAUUUUAAAUAUUUUUUGGUUGGGGCGACUAAGGAACAGAUGAAGCUUCCUUUAUUUGUUAAAUUGAUAAAUUUUGAUCCAGUAUUAAACUGAUUAAUAAAAAUAGUUACCAUAGGGAUAACAGCAUAAUCUUCUUGGAGAGUUCUUAUCAAAAGGGGGGGUUGUGACCUCGAUGUUGGAUUAAAAUAUCCUAAGGGUGUAGAGGCUUUUAAGGGUUGG
RNAcentral lists this ribosomal RNA (436 nucleotides) under Margarya bicostata. Its description in RNAcentral is "partial 16S ribosomal RNA". It matches the Rfam family "Bacterial large subunit ribosomal RNA", at positions 1923 to 2575 of the family's 2925-position model. The record is from RNAcentral. Lineage: Eukaryota; Metazoa; Mollusca; Gastropoda; Architaenioglossa; Viviparidae.